CACAAGGGCAAAAUAGGCCCAUUAGUUCGGAGGGAAACAUGGGACUCACAGAGUAGUGAUACCAAGAACUUUAAGAUCCGGGAUAGCCGCUCCCCCAAAAAUGGCGACGGCCCACUCCUCAAAUAACAGGCGUAACAGGCGCCGCACCUCUACACGCCAUACUUCCAAAGAAGAACAAGCAAUGACGCAGACACGUCAGGUUGUCAGCUCAGAGGCACAAUAACCAGGACGAGGUGAAGACGGCUUUCAACAUCUUCUCUUUCCAUGGUUUAUUAUCCUGCAUUAAUGUGGCUGUUCAGUUGUGAAUAACUGUGAAUUGAAAUGGUAGAAAAUGAGUUAAGAAGGCAAACGCAAGAAUAUAUCCAGUAUAAUUCCUGAUGUGCUGCAGCUUAAUUGCUUUUCUAUUAAAUGUCAUUUAGAUUUAAUUUGCAUUCAUGCAUAACACACACACACGCACGUCGGUGGUAUUGGUGGUAGUUUCCUCACAUGCAAAUUCCGAAGUCUAAACUGCAAAAUUAAAAAAUCUCAAUCAUCCUGUUUAGUUUGGAUGGCUUGUUCCAUUACAUGAAGAUGUCUGCAGUAAAUAACUGCUGUAAUUUAACAAAGCGAGCAAAGAGCAGCCGACUUGUAAUUCAUAAAAUCAUGAUCAUGGAUCUGCCAAUAUGUGAACGUAACGAUUUGGCCCUCUGGAAAACAAUCCUCUCCGAUCCACAACGGCUCCACGCAGCUGGGGACGGGUUGAGCGGUUGUAAAGAAACCCCUCAUUAAGUUCACAACCCCGGAAAAGCCGCGGCAAGGCAAUAAAGCAUCAGAGAACACAAUGUUCUGCCGUCCAAGCGGAACUCGAAGCGGGAGGCCUCCCGUUGUAGAAGCAGGGCAAGCAAGGUGUGAACUCGGGAGACUGAUCUCC
This is a long non-coding RNA of Gasterosteus aculeatus aculeatus (three-spined stickleback), 910 nucleotides long. NCBI's taxonomy places the organism in Eukaryota, Metazoa, Chordata, Actinopteri, Perciformes, Gasterosteidae. The record is from Ensembl.